ACGGAAGGCAGCAGCUAAGAAUAUUCCGCAAUGGACGAAAGUCUGACGGAGCGACGCCGCGUGGAUGAUGAAGGCCGGAAGGUUGUAAAAUCCUUUUAUACAUGAGGAAUAAGCAGAGCAGGAAAUGGCUCUGUGGUGACUGUAGUGUAUGAAUAAGCAACGGCUAAUUACGUGCCAGCAGCCGCGGUAACACGUAAGUUGCGAGCGUUGUUCGGAAUUAUUGGGCGUAAAGGGCAUGUAGGCGGUUUUGCAAGCUUGGUGUGAAAGGCAGGAGCUUAACUCCUGGACUGCGUUGAGAACUGCAAGACUAGAGUUACUGAAGAGCAAUCAGAAUUCCAGGUGUAGGGGUGAAAUCUGUAGAUAUCUGGAAGAAUACCAAUGGCGAAGGCAGGUUGCUGGCAGAUGACUGACGCUGAGGUGCGAAGGUGCGGGGAGCAAACAGGAUUAGAUACCCUGGUA
Molecule: ribosomal RNA, 459 nt
Filed under: uncultured Treponema sp.
Lineage: Bacteria; Pseudomonadati; Spirochaetota; Spirochaetia; Treponematales; Treponemataceae
Description: partial 16S ribosomal RNA
Rfam family: Bacterial small subunit ribosomal RNA
Source: RNAcentral